GGGAUUCCUGAGCUGUGGGCACAUUGGCCUGGCGCACGGUUCUGCCUGCCUCCGACAUCCUCCCCUUGCCUCGCUCUUGGCCGCGCAAUUCCAGGAACCCUCCAUCGCCGCCCACCAUCAUCGCACUAUCUAUCGCCGCCCGCCAUCAUCGGCCCGCGCAACCACCCCAUGCGUCGAUGCUUGCCCCGUCCCCGUCCCUGCGAUGCCCGCGGCCAGGGGGAUUCACAGCCUUCACCGUGCCGCCGCUGAACCACACCUUCGCUCGCGGUGCCUCUGCCCCCGCUCUCGUCCGCCGCCACGGGCGCCGCAUCAUCCCCGCCCCUCCCUCGCCCAUCCCCUCCGGUCAUCCCGCCACCCCCCGCGUCGCACACACACCCCGCAUCUGCUCUCCUGUCCCUUCCCCUCCAGCGAUUUCGCCUCCCACCCGUGCUGCACACACCUCGCUGUCACUUCUGUCCAUCCCACCUCCCCCCGCGGUUGUGUGCUGCCCAGCCCAUCUCCGCUCCUCGACAAGACCAAUGGCGGUUGUUGCGUCCUCCGCUCUGCACGCCGUUGGCGCCGUCGCCUCCGCUAAGCCCAGAUCCAUCGCCCCCGCGGUGGCGAGGAGGAGGAGCGUGCGCAUGGAUCCCCAGCAUGUCGCGCGAUACCCGUCCCCAGCCCACGCCCCCACCUAGCUCCCUAGACGCACGCACGCAGGCGGCGGUGGUGCCCAUGGCUUCGUGGCUGUUGCUCCCCUUCUCCUUCCCGUGGCCUGCCCCGCCCCCACCCGGCUACUCCUCUUGCCGCAGCAGCGGCAGCGAUGGUGGCGGAGACAGCGGCUAUUGGAGGCCGACCGUCGUUGCAGCCUUCGCAGGCGCGCAAGUCGGCCGCGCUCUCCGUCGCCGCUUCGCCGGCCUCCUCCGCUCACCGAUGUCAAAGUAGGCGUUUCGCCGUGGGAGACAGGCCUCCUCACGCUCUGCGGGUCCGUCAGCCGCACUGGUGCCUCUACGGUCUCCUCCUGCUCGCGCUCGUGGUACGCGCCACCCGCUCGCGGUAGUGCUGCGUCUGCGGCCAUUGCAUCGACCGCGUCGUUCCCUUACUAGGAAACCCAGACAUUUCAAAGUUAGAGUUUCACAGCUUGCAGUGAAUUUGGGUUCUUUUUAAUUUGUUGCUUUAGUAUUGAAUUAACGUAUGAUCAUUGUGGUUUAUGGUUCACAUUGGAAUUUAUGUGUUGUUCGUGCUUGAUGAAUUUUCUCCAAAGGAACAAGGGAGACAAUGAGAGGCGAUGUUGAAGCUAUCGAUCCCGGGAAUAAAGCUGCUGCGGAACCGGUGGGAGAUGUAGCUGCGCUAUCGUCAAGGCUGGCUAGGAGGCUACUACAUGGAUCAUGGUGCCCUCCUCGGUGCCAGGGGAUAUGCUUGGAUCAGAGUAGGGAACAUUCAUGCUAUGGACACAAACUCAGGUGGACGUGGUGUUCGACAAUUCAAAACAUACCUAUUACAUAUAUUGGAAAAGGAAACCCCAGGCGUUUCAAAGUUAGAGUUUCACAGCUUGCAGCGAAUUUGGGUUCUUUUUAAUUUGUUGCUUUAGUAUUGAAUUAACGUAUGAUCAUUGUGGUUUAUGGUUCGCAUUGGAAUUUAUGUGUUGUUCGUGCUUGAUGAAUUUUCUCCAAAAGAACAAGGGAGACAAUAAGAGGUGUGUAAUAUGAACUCUACCUAAUGCCUUGUUGCUCUACAAAAUGUCCCAUAUGUAUUCUUCUGUACUCUAAUCUUGUUUGUUGUUGUUGGUCAUCCUUAUACUUUCCCCCACUAUUGCAAGGCGAUGUUGAAGCUGCCGAUCCCGGGAAUAAAGCUGCUGCGGAACCGGUGGGAGAUGUAGCUGCUGCGGAACACGAAAGUUUUAAUCAAGGAAAUGGUCCAAGGGUGCAUCACUGGAAUAAGCUCGAGACCACAAGUGUCAUAUCUCCUCUAAUCUUUACUCUCUCAGGUUCCAGUUGAAUAUGUUCAUUGCUACAAUGAAGCCGUUUUGUUGUUUGCUGUCCGCCGCCGUAUUCGGGGUCUUCGCCUGCCUCUAUGGGCUCAGGGCGGACAGGGGCCUACAAGAUCUCCUCGGGCCAAGGAAUCGUUCCCCUCCGGCGACCUCCCUCCUCCCUUUCGUCUCAGGCCUUCCACUGUAUCUCCAUCAAAGCGAAGGAUCAGAGGCUACUCCGUUAGGAGGAGAGGAAAGGAAUUGUGAGCCUUGUGUUGGAGAAGUCGAAGACUGAGAGUAUAUGGUGGCUCCAUUGGUGUCCAUGUUAAUGGCUGGCGUGUUCUAGAGCAACUCGGGGUUGUCGUAGAGCUUAGGGAGACUUGCCAACCUUAGGGAGACUUGCCAACCUUGUCAUCGCGUACCAUGCCAACAGAAUGCUUAGCUUUUACGCACCAGCGCGUGACGCCAUGUGGGAGCAAAGUUGGGAAAAUGGAUAUUGGCGGUGGUCGAGAGGUCACUCUUAUUGGAAGUCUAGAAAUGCCAAAGGAUGACAUAUGGCUUGUCACAGCUAUCCUAUCUGGUCUGAUUGAAUAAUGUGCGAAGAUAUAAGUCAUAUAUUUCUUGGCCUCCUAUCUUCGCCUCAGGCAGCUGGGAGUGGUUUUAUACUCGCUGAUGACAUCAAGUCUUAGGUGCUUCCAUUGAUCAAUAACUCAGGGAAAUAUGGAGGGAUCAUGAUGUGGUUCAAGUACUAUGAUGAUCAAGAUGGCUACAAUUCUUGAGUGAAGAGUGAUGUUUAGGUUGUUGCCUGUGGUGUGUCACAAUAUCUGUGUGUUACUUGUGUGUAUGUGAGAAAUUAUGUGACUCUGGAGUCUGGAUAGUGCAAUAAGUAUUACUCAAGUAUAUGAUUGAAUCUUCUGUCAUACUAUUCAAAUUAUGUCAUAUUGUAUCUUUUAAGGUAUGU
Molecule: RNA transcript, 2906 nt
Organism: Zea mays
Lineage: Eukaryota; Viridiplantae; Streptophyta; Magnoliopsida; Poales; Poaceae
Gene name: acidic endochitinase pseudogene
Exons: 15
Source: RefSeq, marked validated